RNAcentral lists this microRNA precursor (84 nucleotides) under Bombyx mori (domestic silkworm). RNAcentral describes it as "mir-2807 microRNA precursor family". It matches the Rfam family "mir-2807 microRNA precursor family". The record is from Rfam by way of RNAcentral. Lineage: Eukaryota; Metazoa; Arthropoda; Insecta; Lepidoptera; Bombycidae.
UUAGCUCAUAUUUAUAUGGAAUGGGGUCGUUUGCGUACGUUUGCCGCUAGGGGCGCUGUUCCAACUGCAUACAAAAUUGAGUUA